CAAAGAAGAACAAUUCCAUUAAAAUUCCUUUUUCAAUUUAGUUAACUCAUAAGAUUCAUGUAUCUAUUAUCUCUAAUCGUAAUAAGUCGUAACAAUAGAAAUUAUAAUAACAAUAGAUAAACCUUCCUUCUCUUCCUUAACUCAUAAGCCUCUCUAUCUCUCUCCUCCUGAAUCAAACAAACACUGUUCACUUACUUGACCAAUCAAUAAAGCAUCCUCCUCCAUUUCACGAGAUCUUCGUUCUCAAUCUUCUCUGCAAUCUAGGGUUUCAGAUCUCAAUCUCUACCUCGAAUCCGUUCCCCAAUCAUGAGUCGGGAGAAGCUAAGGUUCUUCACCCUCUCGUUUCUUCUGAUCCUGAGUCCAGCGCUCUGUAGAUUCGUCGUGGAGAAGAACAACCUCAAAGUCACAUCACCCGACUCCAUCAAAGGCAUUUACGAGUGUGCCAUUGGGAACUUCGGAGUUCCUCAGUACGGUGGUACUUUAGUCGGCACCGUUGCCUAUCCCAAAUCGAAUCAGAAAGCUUGUAAAAGCUACAACGAUUUCGACAUCUCCUUCAAAUCUAAGCCUGGGGGCUUACCCACUUUUGUCCUCAUCGAUCGUGGAGGUUCCAUCUUACCCUUUGCUCAAUUAGGUUCAUAGUAUGUGGGAAUGAUUUAGUUUUUGGUUUUAGUAUGUGAAAAAGAUUCAGUUUUUGGUUAUAGUAUGUGGAAAAGAUUCAAUUUUUGAUUAUGGUGUGAGGAAGAUAUAUCAUUGUUUGGUUAUAAUAUGUGGAAAAGAUUCAGUUUUUGGUUAUAGUAUUUUGGAAAGGUUCAGUUUUUGGGUUUAGUAUGUGGAAAAGACUCAGUUUUUGGUUAUAGUAUGCGGAAAAUAUUCAAUUUUAGUAAUAGUAUAUGAAAAAAAAUCAAUUUUGGUUAUAGUAUGUGGAAAAAAUUCGUUUUUUGAUUAUAAUAUGUGGAAAAAGUUCAAUUUUUUGGUUAUAUUUUUCUGGAAAGAUUCAAACUCUGGUUAUAGUAUUUUGAAUAAUAUUCAGUUUUUGGUUAUGUUUUCUGGAAAAGAUUCAAUUUUUGGUUAUAGUUUGUGGAAAAGAUUUGUAUUUUGGAACUGAAUGUGAGUUUGUUUUUGUGAACACAGACUGUUUCUUUACUUUGAAAGCAUGGAUAGCUCAACAAGCUGGAGCAGCAGCGAUUCUUGUAGCUGACAACAAAGCUGAGCCAUUGAUCACUAUGGAUACACCUGAAGAGGAUAAGUCAGAUGCGGAUUAUCUUCAAAACAUUACCAUUCCUUCAGCUCUCAUCACCAAGUCUUUGGGAGACAGUAUAAAGUCUGCUCUCUCCGGUGGUAAUAAGUUUACAUUUUUGUUUUCUUUAAUUAAAAUAUGUUAAACUGGUACAGUAGGUUAAUUAACCUAAUAAACCGAUAAACUUAAAUAAAAUUGAAUCAAUAUAUAUAUAUAUAUAUAUUUAUACCAAAUAUGAUAUAUAAGUUGAUGUAUAAAUCUAUUUGUAAUUAUAUUUAUUUUAUUUUUCACUAUUGUGAUAUAUAGUUUUAAUAUCAAGCACCCGCCAACGUGCAGAAAAUUCAGAUCUUCUAAUUUUCAGUAAAGUAUGAAAAAUAUUAAGGUAAUCAACAAUGUUUUAGUUCCAGUGAUGAUGAUAACAAAUAUAGUCUUAUUGUCUGUAAUGUGAUUUGGUUAACUUUUCUCAAUUUUUUAUAAGUUCAUUACGAAGUGAAGAAGAAGACAGAGAGAGAUAAUAAAACAACCAAUAGACGCCAAUCCAUUGGAAAUAGUGCUUUCUAGGAGAUCCCAACCCAAGUUAUAAGAAAAUCAUCACCAAACCGGAGCUCUCGAGGCUCAAAACCAUCAUGUAAAAUUUCAAACACUAACAUUACUUUUAGGAGAGGGAGAAGAACAACAAAGGAUAACCAGGCUGCACUAUUUUCUUUUCCAAUUUAUCUAAUAUUAAGAGAAAAAAAAAAUUCACAAGACCCAAGUUUUAGUGUUGAAUAAUAGUAAGGUGAAUUGUUUGCUAAUGUUUCUUACAAUCAAACAGGAGAUAAUGAGAGGAGCAAGUGGGUGACAGGUCGUACCACCCUGCUGCCAUCUCACCAAGCAGGGUUGGAAUCCUACAAAUGCCUUUAAUAAGAAGAAUUACUAGGCCAUUGUGCCACAGAUGAUAAAAAAAAAUUAAGUUGAAGAUAACUGAUGAGUAUUACGAUUCUGAAUAAAACAUCUAUCAUUUUUUUUUUUUUGAAAAACAGAUGAAUUUUGUCGGCCAAUUAUGUAUUGGCAGUAUCCCCAUAUUCAAUAAUUCAACUUUCCAAAUUUGACUUACAAAUAAGAAAUUUGUGAAUUUAUGACACGAGUGAAUUGGAUAUGAACAGGAAGAAAUAAUAUUUUACCAUUGAAUUCUGAUCAAUUAAGAUUAUUUAUUUUUAAGAUUUUUUUAUAAUUUAAAUUAGUAUUUAAAUAUCUAGAUGAAAGAAAUUAUAAGUUAUUAUUAAGCUACAGAAAUGGUAUAUCAGUAUCUUAAAAAUGUUGCUUCAAGAAGUUGUAGUAGGAAAUAGUUUUCAUAAUUUAUGUCUCAUGUUACAAUAUAAAAAACUUGCCCUAACAAUAAAUAAAAUUAAAUAGCCAACUAAUCAUGGCAACUACAGCAAAUGUAGUUGGACACAUUCUCAUGAUGUUAGAAACUAACCACUACAAUCCAAAAAUAGAAACAAACUCAUAGUUGGACUGCUUUUAAAUAUGUACAUACGAAUUAAAAUAUUUACAUUGUAAAACAUACAUUCUAACUCAUUUUAAACUAUAUUAUUAAUCAAUGAUGGGGAGUUGCAAAACAUAAGUAAUUGAAAAUAUAAAUUUGUUGUGGUGACAAGAAAUUAUCUCCAAAAUAUUCAAGGUAAUAACAAAUAUAAAUUUAAAGGCUUAUAAUACAUACUGAUUAAUAAAUUUUAUUUAAAAAGAAAUUAUUAUUUAGCUAAGAAGAUUAUCAUCAAGAAAACAUAACUAAGAGCAAUUUUAGUGCGACAUAUUCGAAGCUUUCUAUGUAUUCUAAACUCAAUUUUAGUAUUUUGGCAAACAAAUAAAAAAAAUAUUACAAAAAUGAGAGAAAAAAUGUUAUAUGCAACAAAAAUCAGAGCAUGUCUCUCCUAAAAUACUAUAUUCUACACACUAGAUAGUUUAUGAACACAAAAACAUUGUACAAUAUUUGAUAUUAACAUAACAAAAUCAUUAAUAUAAUUUAAAUAGUAAUUAUUCGCGCGUAGCGCGGAAAACGACCUAGUAAACAUAAAUUUACGGAGACGACAAAGAAGAACAAUUCCAUUAAAAUUCCUUUUUCAAUUUAGUUAACUCAUAAGAUUCAUGUAUCUAUUAUCUCUAAUCGUAAUAAGUCGUAACAAUAGAAAUUAUAAUAACAAUAGAUAAACCUUCCUUCUCUUCCUUAACUCAUAAGCCUCUCUAUCUCUCUCCUCCUGAAUCAAACAAACACUGUUCACUUACUUGACCAAUCAAUAAAGCAUCCUCCUCCAUUUCACGAGAUCUUCGUUCUCAAUCUUCUCUGCAAUCUAGGGUUUCAGAUCUCAAUCUCUACCUCGAAUCCGUUCCCCAAUCAUGAGUCGGGAGAAGCUAAGGUUCUUCACCCUCUCGUUUCUUCUGAUCCUGAGUCCAGCGCUCUGUAGAUUCGUCGUGGAGAAGAACAACCUCAAAGUCACAUCACCCGACUCCAUCAAAGGCAUUUACGAGUGUGCCAUUGGGAACUUCGGAGUUCCUCAGUACGGUGGUACUUUAGUCGGCACCGUUGCCUAUCCCAAAUCGAAUCAGAAAGCUUGUAAAAGCUACAACGAUUUCGAC
RNAcentral lists this long non-coding RNA (3853 nucleotides) under Brassica napus (rape). Its description in RNAcentral is "long non-coding RNA (BNAP_LNC018632)". The record is from RNAcentral. Lineage: Eukaryota; Viridiplantae; Streptophyta; Magnoliopsida; Brassicales; Brassicaceae.